GCAGCCAUGGCCCACUGGUUAGCACUCUGGACUUGUAACCAGAGGGUUGCCGGUUCAAGCCCCGUGGGCCGCG
RNAcentral lists this transfer RNA (73 nucleotides) under Alosa alosa (allis shad). Its description in RNAcentral is "tRNA-OTHER". The record is from RNAcentral. Lineage: Eukaryota; Metazoa; Chordata; Actinopteri; Clupeiformes; Clupeidae.